UGGGGAAUCUUCCGCAAUGGACGAAAGUCUGACGGAGCAACGCCGCGUGUAUGAUGAAGGUCUUCGGAUUGUAAAGUACUGUCAUUGGGGAAGAACGGUUUUCUUGAAAAGAUUGAGAAGACAUGACGGUACCCAAGGAGGAAGCCCCGGCUAACUACGUGCCAGCAGCCGCGGUAAUACGUAGGGGGCAAGCGUUGUCCGGAAUUAUUGGGCGUAAAGGGCGCGUAGGCGGGCCUUUAAGUCCGGUGUGAAAGAUCAGGGCUCAACCCUGAGAGUGCAUCGGAAACUGGAGGCCUUGAGGACAGGAGAGGAAAGUGGAAUUCCACGUGUAGCGGUGAAAUGCGUAGAUAUGUGGAGGAACACCAGUGGCGAAGGCGACUUUCUGGACUGUAACUGACGCUGAGGCGCGAAAGCGUGGGGAGCAAACAGGAUUAGAUACCCUGGUAGUCCACGCCGUAAACGAUGAGUGCUAGGUGUAGAGGGUAUCGACCCCUUCUGUGCCGCAGUUAACACAAUAAGCACUCCGCCUGGGGAGUACGGCCNCAA
RNAcentral lists this ribosomal RNA (546 nucleotides) under uncultured bacterium. Its description in RNAcentral is "partial 16S ribosomal RNA". It matches the Rfam family "Bacterial small subunit ribosomal RNA", at positions 355 to 891 of the family's 1533-position model. The record is from RNAcentral.